GCGUAAUCUAGAGUCUAGAGAUGG
Molecule: non-coding RNA, 24 nt
Filed under: Arabidopsis thaliana (thale cress)
Lineage: Eukaryota; Viridiplantae; Streptophyta; Magnoliopsida; Brassicales; Brassicaceae
Source: RNAcentral